Molecule: long non-coding RNA, 510 nt
Organism: Spea bombifrons (plains spadefoot toad)
Lineage: Eukaryota; Metazoa; Chordata; Amphibia; Anura; Pelobatidae
Exons: 2
Source: RefSeq, a predicted model, not a curated record
CCCUCUAGUGGCCGCAGUGAGCAUGCACAGUCUGAAGAGGAGGUCAUCUCACUGGGGAAGGGCUGUGACGGGCACACCCCCUGCAUGACGUCACGCACGCCCUCAGUCACUGCGAGCUGCUGCUUUAACUUCAGACUUUAAGGUGGGCUCUGAGGAUUUAACUGGAAUGUGUUCUCCUCUCCUGCACUCCUCAGUGUAAGGGGCUGAUCGUCACACCACUAGCUGGCUGCCUUUUUCUACAUUCUUCCUACAGACUGAGGACUUUACAUUUAUUUUCUUAUCUGCACAGACUGGAAUUACUACUGUUACACAGUCAUCUGUAUAAGAACCGGAUUUUAUUCAACUAUAUCCACUGAUCUUCCAGGAAAAUAACAUAGCAAGGAUAUCCAACGAGGAAUAUUUCUACAAGGAACGUUUCAAGUAUUGGCUAGAGGAAAACUAUUGCAUUUAUUGGAGAAUAUAUAAUACUUUUGUCCCUCUAUCUUCCACUAUAUACUUAUAAAACAAGUA